UACGGGGGGGGCAAGCGUUGUUCGGAAUUACUGGGCGUAAAGGGCUCGUAGGCGGCCAACUAAGUCCGACGUGAAAUCCCCAGGCUUAACCUGGGAACUGCGUCGGAUACUGGUUGGCUUGAAUCCGGGAGGGGGAUGCGGAAUUCCAGGUGUAGCGGUGAAAUGCGUAGAUAUCUGGAGGAACACCGGUGGCGAAGGCGGCAUCCUGGACCGGCAUUGACGCUGAACAGCGAAAGCCAGGGGAGCAAACGGG
RNAcentral lists this ribosomal RNA (253 nucleotides) under uncultured bacterium. RNAcentral describes it as "partial 16S ribosomal RNA". It matches the Rfam family "Bacterial small subunit ribosomal RNA", at positions 524 to 776 of the family's 1533-position model. The record is from RNAcentral.